Long non-coding RNA from Erpetoichthys calabaricus (reedfish), 351 nucleotides. RefSeq lists it as uncharacterized. The record is from RefSeq and is a predicted model, not a curated record. The transcript is spliced from 2 exons. Lineage: Eukaryota; Metazoa; Chordata; Cladistia; Polypteriformes; Polypteridae.
UAUUGGCACCCUUUCAAAGUUGUGGGUAAAUCGUUUUAUUUCAAGCAUAUGAUGCUUGUUUGAACUCACCUGUGGCAAGAAACAGGUGCUGGCAAUAUAGCAAUCACACCUGAAGCCAGUUAAAAUGGAGAAAAGUUGACUCAACCUUUCUGUUGUGUGUCUGAGUAGAAAUGUCUGAGGACUUGAGAACAAAAAUUGUGGAAAAAUAUCAACAAUCUCAAGGCUACAAGUCCAUCUCCAGAGAUCUUCAUGUUCCUUUGUCCACUGUGCGCAACAUAAUCAAGAAGUUCACAACACAUGACACUGUAGCUAAUCUCCCUGGACGUGGACGGAAGAGAAAAAUUGAUAAAA